ACCCUAGAAUGUAAGUGAGAAAAGGCCUUAAUGAUCAUUUAAUCUAACCUCCUCUUAGGCUCCUGUUUUGUAGCGGGGAAAAGAGAUUCUAAGAAAUUAAGAAAUUGCCAGAAGUCAUACAAUUAAGUCAUUGUUACCCGUUCAGGGAGGUAGAAAUAGAACUUGGGAUUUUCAGAUUAUACAUUUAACGUUUUUGGGGUUUGGUCAGGAAGUAUCGUCUUAUAUGUCGAAAUCUGCCUCCCAGUAAGUCCAGCUUUUUGGUCCUCCCGUUAGGGUUAAGCAGAAUUAGAUGAACUUCUCUUUCACGAGAUGUUCUCCAGAUAGUUAAAGGCAGAGCUGGAAGCUCCCAGGUUCCCCCAAAUCCAGACUAAACAUUCCCGGCUCCUUCACCUGGAACCUUGUAUGACAUUCAGGAGCAUCCUUUUCUCAGUUAUCCCCUCCUCCAUCAUCAUGGUGACCACCAGCCAGAUCACACCCACUAGCCCUCAUUGGCUCUUGGCUGGUUCAUCCCUAGGGAUAACAAAUGCUUUCCCUUCAAGGAGGAGACCACAAUCACUGGGUUUCCAAGAGGCAUGGCAGUGACUCAGUCAAUGAGCAUUUAUUAGGGCUUUCUUUGUACCCGGCGCUGUGCUAAGUGCUACCUACAGAUAUCAUUUCCACAUUAUGGGACUCAGAAUUAAAUGGCCUGCCCAUGGCCACAUAUCUAGCAUAAGAGCUAGGAUUUGAGGCUGGUCUUCUUGAACCCAAGCCCGGCGUUCCCUCCACAACACAAAGGACCCUGCCUCCCACCCAAGGGGCUUCUGGAGCCCCGGAAAUUCUUAAUGCCUCAGUUUUCUUCAUCUGUGGAAUGCAAGCACUAAACCUCCCUCUAGAGGGCUCUGAGAAAUAACUGACCAGCACAGAUAAAAAAAAAAGUGGAUAGUGAUCUUAGUUCCUUAAGCCUUCUUCACAAAACACGGAUUUCAUUUUCAUAAAGACCCUGAGGAGUUUGACAGGAUGGACAUUCUUGUCCCUAUGUUACAGAUAGUGGGGGUAGGGCCGGUAAUGUCCAGGGACAGUUCCAAGGUCUCAGAAUGAGGUAAGGACAGAAUCAGGAAGAGAGCCCAGGGCCUCAGACUCCCCGGCCAAAGCGCUGUGGAAAACCUGGGAUCAUCCAUCAGAGCUGGGAGGGAAUCUUCCAGGUCACUCACUCCAUCUUCUUCGUUUUACAAAGAAACAGGAGCAGGGAGGUUAGAUAACGUGGCUAAUAUGAAUUUGAACCCAAGCCCUCUGAUUUCAGAGCCGGCAGCCUUUCCACUUCACCUUUCUGCUACCUCCCCCUCUUCAUUGAUGAGCAGCCUUGAUGGAGGCAAGGCGAAAAUCAGAGAUCCAUAGGGUAGCAUCUGUUACUUUGUGUCACAGGCCAGAUGAUCAGGGACCCGUGGUUCCACUAAUAACCUAAAUGGUUUCGGCUGGGAACUAGACAAAGGACCCAGUGGGAUGCUUUGGGUGGAGAGAUAAGUACUUUAAAAUGAGCAUCUUAUCGGGUUUCCUCAUUGGAGGGGAAAAACAGGAUAAUCAGCCCUUCGCCAGAGCCAACUGGGUGUUGUCUAUUCCGUGUAACACUGUAAGCCGAGGAAAAUGUAUUGUAAGGGUUUGGAAGGGAGAAGGGGAAGAAGCCCUUUUCCAACAUUUCUCCUGGCAAAAACAUCCUAAUGGCCCUUCAAGUAUCAUCUGCUUAUGUAUGGCGCUGUAUGGUUUAUCAGCUGUAGCUAUUCCCUCACGUUCUCCACAAUUAUUAUCCAUAGGGUACUGAUCCUAUGACUUCAUUAAUGUAGGGAAUUCCCAGAAAAAGGAAUCUCCCUCUACCAGGGCUGGUCAGGACCUCUCUACAAUUUAUAAUCUUUGAGAGCAGAUCGGACAUCCCUGGGGGCACUCUAGUUGGGAAGUAUUUAACAAAAUAAAGAUAAAACAUGUUACAUUUUAAAACUAAGUCAGGUGAGGGACCACAGGGAUCCUUAAGUACUGUGCCCUCAUUUCUAUUUCUAUUAUGCAUUUUCUCUUUUUUAGAUGUUUAUAUAGUUUAUAUGUUAUAUAAUUUCUAUUUUUUAUAUUACAGAGAUUCUUCUAGGCUGAGAAGGAAAAUGACUGGUCCAGUGUCACACAGCCAGUACUUGUUUCCAUGUUUUCGUGGUUAAGAAAAUUUUCACCAAACACCACUUCCUUUUCAGAAAGCUAAGAUUUUACAUUAAUUACAGAUGAGGAAGCGGAAGAUAAGGCUUGUCUAAAGUCCCACAGAUAAAUGAGAGCUGGCACCCAGAUCUCCUGCUUCAGAGUUAAGUACUAUUUCUUUCUCUGUGCUGGGCUGCCUGACCCUGUAUCCUCAUCUUUUAGAUGACAACCUAUCAGACAUCUUCCUGAAGGGCUUCCUUUCUACCAUAGCCAUGAGUUAUGGAGUCCCAAGUCCCAGGAGCUGUUCUGUUCCUCACUAGUGCUGUGACCUCAGGCAGGACGCAUCCCUUUCUGGGUUUCAGUUCCUCCACCAAUGGGACUAGAGCAGGGGCUCUUAACCGCUCUCUGAUAGCAAGGAGUGGGGCGCUGUUUUUGCUAAAAGAAGAAACAACUUCAGUCUCCCGCUCUCGGCUUUGACUCUGCUCUCCAGGGUGAAGAUUUCUGAAAGUGUUUGUUCUAGGGUUUCUUCCAGGUCUGACCUCUCAUGAUUUCCUAAGUCCUGGAGGGGAGAGAAUGUCGAAUCUGGAGUAAAAUCCAGAUUCAGCUCAAACUUGAACUUCACGAAUGAUUGCAUGUAGAAGGCACCCCCUUCUCUGAGCCUUAGUUUCCUUUAAAAUGGGAUUACACUAGGACCUAUGAGGAACCUUGUAAUUCUCAAUCUGUGAUCCUAUGAGCUCUCCUGGCUUUGAGUCUUAUUACCCUGUGAUUUCACUUAAAUGGCCCCCUUGCUGCCAUGGGUGCUCAUUCUUAGAUAUCCGAGGGCUGAGGAUAAUAGCAGGUAUAUGCUAUUCUCUCCGUGUGCUCGGAGGCACUAAUUUUCCCUUUUUCAUGGCAUGAUUAUCCCUUUCUCCCCUUCUUUAUGUUUAAUCUCUUCAAAAAGAUGUGAAAGUGGGGGGGGGGGGAGGGGGAAAAGGGGAGGAGGAGGAGAGAGAAUAAGACAGAGACAAAGAGAGACACAUAGACACACAUACUGAGAGACAGAGACACACACCUAAAGACAGACAGAAACAGAGAGACACAGCAAGAGAGAUACACAGAGAGCAAGAAACAUAAAGACAUAGACUCACAUAAAGAGACAGAGACAAUGACAGACACACACACACAGAGCCAGAGUCAGAGAGACAGAAACAGAGAGAUACAGAAAGACAGAGAGACAGACAGAUACACAGACACACAGAGAGACAGACAGAAACAGAGGGAAACAGAGAAAUAGAGAUAGAUACAGAGAGACAGACUGACAGAAACAGAGACAGAAAGUCAGAGACAGACAGGACAGGGCCAGCACUCAGCUCAGGGGCACUUAGGGAGCCCAGAGUGGAAGCAGACAGGGAAAGGCAAUGCUGCUAGUGCAGAGAGGAAGACACAGAGCAGGACUGGAGACCUCAGAGAGGAAACUACCUGGCUCUCCCUCUUCGACAGCCACAGAUUUUUUCACCUUCUGCUCUUUCUUUGACAAUGUGCUAACAGUAACAACUCUGGAUGGGGGAGAUUCCUUACCAGCUGCCAGCAAUAUAGUCUUCCUAGCCUAAAGGCAACAGAAAGAUACCCUGGCUCCAAAUCCCAGACAGUCACCACAUGCUCCAAAGCUCAUCAUUGGGAUAUCCUGAUUAAACAGGGCGUUAAUUUUAAAGAGGCAUGAAAAAAAAUGAGGAGUGAUUUUGUUAGCUCCUGAUCGUCAUCCAUCAGAGAGAGCGCGCAGUCUGCCUGAGCCCUUCAAAAACCAAUACUCCGGGUGGGAGGGAGGGAAAAAUCAAUUUUUGUUCACUGAAUAAAAAAUUAAAAUGGAAAAACUCCAAUAUUGUGGGAAUUGAGUUAUUUUUCAUCUGUAGGGCGAGAUUUCAUUGAAACUGACUUGGUACAAACUUCACACCUGCCGGGACAAGACUUUGAUCUUUCACCUUUGAGUUGAUUCUUUAGGAAUGAAUGAAUGAAUGAAUGAAUGAAUGAAUCAAAUUGCUGUAAGGGAAUAUAUAAAAAUAUAAGAAAUUAUUUUACAGGGGAUAUUUUGGCAAGUAGAACAUUCAAGCUCCUGAGGACAGGAACUGUCUCCAUUAAAUUUUCUAUCCCUUGCUCUCACUUGCAGAGUGCUCUAUACACAGCAGGUGCUGGCUAAAUGUUUGUGGGUAGGAUUGAAUUAUAUGGGGACUCUUGAAACUGGUAAUACUGGCAACGUGGGCUGCUUGGAGGGUCCAAUUACUAGUGAUGGAAUGCACAAAGAAAGAGGGAAGGCAUUAGUCACACAAGGCAUGGCUAACUUUGUGAUGUUACAAGGGAAGAAGCUGGUAAGAGGAAACCUCUGAGAGGAACUGAGAAUACAUUUGUGAGUUGAUAGUUUGGAAACUUCCUCUAAUAUAGAUCACUGCAAUUUAGUAAAUAAGUCAGAGUAAAUCACAGAGUGAUUUUAACAUGGAUUAGCGACAGAACCUCAACCCAGUUCUUCCAGAACUCAACUACCACUCUUUAACAUGCUGCCUCCAGAUGAGGAAUUGUCUCAAUGCUGGUCAACAUCUUUUGUUUUAUAAUUUGAGGGACUUGUCUAGAGCCCUGAAAUGUGAUUUGCCCCUGGUUAUAUGACCAAUUCCUGAGAGGCAAUACUUGAACACAGAUCUUCCUGUAAUGGUCAUUUUUUUUUUUUUUUUUUUUUUUUUUUUUGAGGCAACUGGAGUUCUGUACUGUCUGAGACUAGAUUCGUGUGUUUCUCCCGGAGCCCUCCUGACUCCAGGGCCUGAGCUGCACCACCAAGCUGCCCCCACUAAUGGUCAUUUGAAGAACUAUCUCGUGGAGAGAAAGAACAACUACAAAAGAGAAAACUUAUCCAACAGUUUAGCAAUUUAGAAAGCCUAAUGCUUCAGCCACUUAAAAUGCUCUUUUCAUUCCACUGAUUGGGAAUUGCUGAUGAGGGACAAAGAGAUAGGUAGGCUACAUACACAGAUAAAGAGAGGGAAAGUCUCUACCGAGGGAGAGGGAGCUCCCCCUCCAGAACAGACAAAGCCAAGUGUUUGGAAAGUUUUCCAGUUUCAAUUGCAGCUCUCUUCCCUCUCCCCUCCUCCCCCCCCCCUCACCCCCCCAGCACCAGCCUUGGGCUCAGCUCCAAGGAUCUUUUACAUUAAGAUCCUAAUGAAGAAUAAUUAACAGCUUAAAGGAAGCUAGUAUUUAAAAAGUGGUUAAUUUUUCAUUGCCUGCUUUUUAUAUUCUUAACUGCAAAAUCAUUAAUUUAAACAGUUAAAUUCAGCAGAGGAAGUCGGGGUAGGGGUGGGGAACUCUUUAAUUUUCAAAGAUUAAUCUGGGGCAGGAAGAUUUGGGAUUUGUGCCUUGAUCCCACAAGACAGUAAAUUCCCUAAAGGGAGGGAGCUGGUUUCUAAAAAAUAUUUCCCCCACCUCCAUCUCCCACCCCCGAGUUAGCAUCCUGCCUCCACUUUUUUGUUUUUUUUUGUUCCAGCCCCAGGAUUUCAUUGGUAUGGGGAACUUCUUCCUCCAUUAGUGGAAAUGAGCAGAGAAAUAAUUUAGCCUUAAAAACGUUUCUCUUCACUACUAUGUAAUCCAGGGCUAUCUACUGGCCUCACUACUGUUCCUCACAGCAGACACUCCAACCUCCCUCCUCAUUUCCAGUUCUUGACUACAAGUCGUAGCUCAAGUCCUUCUUUAAAAAAGUCUUUUUUUUUUUUUAAUAUGUGACCCUGGCCAAGUGAUUUAAUCUCUGUCUCAACUUUAAAAUGGGGAUAAUAGCACCUACUUCCCAAUGUUACUGUGAAGAUCAAAUUAAGAUAUUUGUAAAGGUCUUAGUCUAGUACCUGGCACACAGAAGGAGCUUAAUAAAUGCCAGUUUCAUUCCUUUCCAGAUGAAAGGAAAUUUCACCUGAGAUCAUCUCUAAUUAUCUGAUAUAUAUCUUAUUUGUACACAGUUGUUUGCAUAUUGCCUCCCCCUUUAGAUUGUGAACUUCAUGAAAGCAGGGACUAUUUUUAUUUUUCUUUCUAUCCCCAGCACACAUGUUAGGUACUUCUUGAUUGAUUCAGGGAAAGUCUUUAUGCCUGAGACACCACAGGGUGUCCUGUCUCUAGUGACACAGCUAGUAUGUGUGAAGAGCAGGAUUUGAGUUCAGAUUAUCCUAACUCCAAGAGAGGACUACUAUCCAUCCCCGAUCUGUAACCUCUUGCCUCUUUAUAUUACUGUGUUUGUAAAUGUUGCUGAAUUAAGUUGGUUUAAAAUUAUCAAGGUGUGUACUCUGAUGACACAAAGAGAUGCCAUUCAUUGAAAAGAGCACUUUAUUUGGAGUUAGAAUCCAGAUCUCAGUCAUCCCCUCUUGCCUCUAGGAUAAACUCUUCAUUCCUCUGUCUGGCAUUCCAAGUCCUAACUUUAGCUUCAAUCUGAUCUUUACAAUCUGAUCUCAUACUGCUGCCUGUUGAGGGCCCUAAGUUCCUGCCAAACUGACCUAUCCAUGUUGGGGUUGUGCUGGACAAUCAGCUCAGAUGCUCUAUGGAGCCCACCGCUAAAUUUCCAAUGUGAACAUUUACACCUCAGAAAUCUGCAAGGGCCAAGAUCAAGGCUUGGCUUAUUUGUUUUCCUGAUUGUCAAGCUGAAGAAAGUGAUGGAGAAAAUGUUCAUAAUGCACAUUAAAUUUAAAAUUACAUUGUGCAUACUAAAUUUCCCCUUUUCUGGAUAGCUGAUCGUUAAAUGUUUACCAGUACACUCCCCAGUAUAUAUGGCAUCUCCUCCUACCUUUAUGCCUUCAGCACAGGCUAUUACACUUCAUGCCUGAAAAGACACUACCUCUGGAAUCUAUUUCAAGAUUCAGUUCAAAUGCCAUCCCCUGUAUAAAGUCUUUUCUCAUCUUUCUAUUUUUUCAGUCCUAUCCCUCAUCCUCCAUUAUUCUGAAGAUACUUUGUAUUUUCUAUUGACUUAUAUAUAUUUGUAUUGUUUCACUCUAGUAAAAGGAAAAGUCUUUAAGGUCAGAGAUUAUUUUCCUCCCUCUUUUCCUUUCCUUCCCUCCCUCCUUCCUUUUCUCCUUUCUUUUUCCUUUCCUUCCUCUCUCUCCAUCAUCCCUCCCUCCCUCCUUUCCUCCUUUUCCCCUUUUCUUCCUCUCCUCCCUCCAUCUCCAUCAUCUCUCCCUCUGCCUUCCUUCCUUCACUUCCUUUCUGUCUCCAUCAUCCCUCCUUCCUUCUUUAUUUCCUCUGUCUCUCCCUCUUUUCCUUCCUUCCUUUUCUCCCUCUCUUCCUUCCUUCCUUCCUUUUCUCCCUCUCUGUUUCCAUUAUCCUUCCCUCCUUCCUUCCUUCUCUCCUUCAUCCACUCCUCCCUCCCUUUUUCUUUCCCUCCCUCCUUCCCUCCUUUUCUUUCUUUUUUCCUUCCUUCCAUGCUAUAAUAUCUGACAUACCAUAGUAGACUUUAAUCAAUUCUUUAAUUUUAAUAAAGACCUUUAGUGAAUAAUUGAUUUAAUACAAAUGCUGAAAUAAAUGAAUGAGCUCUGACUUAUUAAACUCUUUGACCUUGGAGAAGUUGCUGUAACCCUUUGGGACUCAGUUUCUUCCUCUAUAAAAUGAAGAGGGGUCAGACUAGGUGACCUCCAAUCCCCCAUCCAUUCCAGUUUUGAUAUUCUUUACUUCUACAAGUCUAGAAAGCAGGACCAAAGUAACUCAUUUAAUCUCCCACCGGAGGAUGAGCUAGGUUGACUCUUUAAGUUAUAGCCUGAGAUAACAUUAUCACCUGGACCUGAAAGCCUUAUGGAAGUCCAACAGAUCCCCUCUCUUUCCCCCCCAAUUCUUCCUUCCUUUGCCUAAGGAAGUAUAACAAAAUUCAAGAGAGAGAGAGAGUGCUACCUUAACCUGGCAGAGGCCCAAGUGCAGCCAGCCAGCCAGCCCCCUUCAGCCUGUUGUCCCCAAAGCCUUUGGAAAAGACAAGUUCACCCUUUUCAGAGCAGGCCUAUUGGAAAAGAAGUGAAAGCUCCCACCAAUUUCCCAGAACUUCUUGCAUGCUAAUGGCUACUACUACACAGAAUGUGAAAUCAGGAAACACUAAUUCCCCCAGAAUAGCCUGAAUAAUCCCUUCCUCCUCCCCGUGUUCCAUAAUUACUCUAUGUUAAAUACGAUCCCAACCAAGAGCCACAUGAAUACACUUUUGUUGUCUGGGGAUGGUUACUUAGCCAAGGUGUACAUAUGGACUGCAUACGAUUUCUAAAGAAUUAGGCAAGAUUUAUUAACAAUCCCGCCCAUGGUAUUUCCCUUCUUUGCCACUCCCUCCCCCACCCCCCAACUACCGUAUGGGAAUGUCUCCUGAAAUUCUCCAACUCCUACUUUUCCUCCCAGCUCGGCUCCCCGAGAUGGCACCAACCCAAAUGAAAGGAUCGGCUUUUGGGUUAAGGGUCAUGAUGAGUAUACUGAGACCCAGAAAGGUUAAGUGAUGGGCCUAAGCAAGAGACAGAGCUAGGACAAUCAUUCAGGGAAAACUGCAAAUGAAGACUACAUAUGAAGAUGCCGGAUUUUCUUUUUCAUUUCAACUCAUUCAUUCCAUUUCAUUGAUUUUGCAAUCAGAAGGAAGAUGUGAGUGUUUGGGGUUUAAAAAUAUGAAAACUUCACAACCAAAUUAAAAAAAAGUGAGCAUCUAGGAGCCCAUCCAAACUCUUAUUCUCUCCAGAACCAAGCUGAAAUGACCUCCAUAACAUAAGGCUGAGCUUGUCAGGGAUGCAAUGUUCAAAGCACUCUAUUUGUCUCAAGAGGACUCAGCUUUCAAUUCUGGAUCAGCCUCUUGCUCCCUGGGUGACAUGGUUUUCUCUGAAGACCUCAGUUUCCUUUUCUGUAAAAUGAGAUGCUUGGAAUAUAAGAUUGCUCCCAAUCCUGAAUAUAAUCCUGUUACCACAUCCCAAGCUGGAGUCACAGAAAUAGGUUAUCUCUUCUCCUCCUCAAUUAGUUAAGUACAUAGUUGUCAACAUCUUCCACAUGUCCAAUACAAUUUGAUUCAACAAGCAUGUAUUAAACCUAUUUAGUGCCAGUCAUGAAGCCUGUGGUUACAUGUAUUUGAAUUUAUAUAUAAAAAAAAUACAACCCAAUGCAAAUGUACAGUAUAAAUUCAAAUAACGCCACUAUUUUACAGGAUUCGUUAUUAUAAAACUAUGGGGGAGCUAGUCUUGUGUACUAUGAAGAAAAAUAGAGAUUCUAUGAGAUGGGAGUCAGAAGAGAGUUUUUCAGGCAUGGGAAAGAGUCUGUGCAAAGACAUGGAGGAGGGGGAUAUAAUGUCUUAAGGUUGUGUGCUGCAUGUUAUUGCUUAAUGUUGUAGUGUAAUGUUGUAAGUGGGUAAAUGCCAAGUAGGUUAUUUUUGGCUAGAACAUAAAGUGUGUAAAAGGGAAUAAUGUGAAAUAAAUAUGUAAUGAUAGGUGAGAACCAGCUGGCAAAAGACUUUAAAUGCCAAAUGGGGGAAUUUGUAUAGUGCCCUAGAGGCAAGAAGGAGCCAGUUACAGUUCCAGAGCAAAAGAACGAUCUAACUUAGGCUAACCAACCAGCCCAAUCCUCUUCAGAGCACAAUUAACACCACAAAGGCAGUGGGAUAUAGUGGGGAAAGUGCUGGACUGGCAACCUUGAGACCUUAUGGGUAAUUGUGCCACAAUUAGCCGUGCAACCUUGAAGAAAUCAGUUCCCUAUUGAAGGCCUCCAUUUCUGCUUCUGAAUAUGUGGGGACUCCAAGUAAUUUCCAUUCAACAAAUGGUUAUUAAAUUUCUGCUAUGUCCUAAAUGCUGGAGAAACAAAGACCAAAAAUGAAACAGGUCCUGCCCUUAAGGAAUUUACAAUCCACUAAUUUAUAAAGAAUUAACAAUCUAUUAGGUAAAAGAGGCCAUUUUCUGCCUCUUUUCUUACCCUGACAAUCACUGAUUGUGUCACUGUCUCAGUCAAACUGAGACCUGGGAGGUCAAGGCUUCCCACUGCAUCCAGGGCCAUCUCCAGUCCUCCUGAUCUAUAUCUGGCCACUGGAUCCAAAUGACUCUGGAGGGGAAAGUGAGGCAAGUGAUUUUGCACAGCCCUCCCUCACUGAAAGCCCAAUUCACCAGUCAGUCACGGUCCUCUUUGAAUAUAAAAGACAAACAACAACCCUCUUCAGACUCCUUUUACAAGACAUUUUCUCUACAAGUGGCAAUGACCAAUUCUAUUUUCUCUAGGCAGUAACUUUUAAAAUAAUAUUUGAGGAGGCUAAUCAUGUUUUAAUUAUACUUAUGAAAUCUAGGCAUUUUGGUGAAAAAAAAGCAAGUGUUGGAUGUUAUAGAAAUACAAAUUUUAGAGUUGGAAAAGACUUAAGCGAUAGAUCACCUACUUUAUAUUAAUUAUAAAUUAUAUAAAGUGUAUACACUUUGGAUUUGUUAAGAUGCUGAUUUCUUUGUAGGUUGUAAGUUCCUUGAGGGCAGGACCUGUUUCUUUUCUUUUUUUUUUCCUUUUUGUAUUUCCAGCAUUUAGACCAUAGCAGAUGGUUAACAAAUUUGAAUUGAAAAUUUUCUGAUAGCUUCCAUUUGUAGAUGUAGGAAUGGAAGCCUUGAGUGGGGAACUGAUUUCUUCAAGGUCACCCAGCUAAUUUGUGGCAUAGUUACUCUCCUGAUUGUCAGUCCUGUGCUUUCCCCAUUAUAACACCCUGUCUCUGUAAUGCUGAUUAUAUGCUGCAGAAGAAAAUUUUGAUUUUUACAUGAAAACAAAACUGGGUAAGAUGCUCUUUUCCUCUUCUCCCUGUACUCGGGCACACAUAUGCACACACACAAACACACACACACAGCAGUUAGCUUUCCUCUCAUGCCCACCCUUAAGGAAAAAUCAGUUUUUUGAAAAGGGGCAUUUGACCACCAAGGUCUUGGGUCUUGAAUUCCCAGGCUGGGAACAAGAGUCCAACCUCCCAAGUGGGCUGCCGUCCCAGAUUGCUACUGGGCUCUGAGAGUUUUGUCCCUGAAGUCUAGGACUUUGAGACAAUGAGCUAGUCUGCAAGUUUUUCCAGUGAUAUCAUGAAAAGCUGGCCAGGCGUAGAGAUGCAGCAUGCAGGAAAAGCUGCCUCCAUCCAAGCCCGCCCUCUGCGACAGAGCAGGGGGAGACCUCUACCACAGCCAAAUUCUCAGCAGACCGCUCACUUUUGUCACUUACUAGCUGUGUGACCCUGGAUAAGACAUGUACUCCUUUUUGGGAUUUGAGUUUUCUCCUUUAUAAAUCAGUUGGAUUAAGUGAUCUCUAAUGUCCCUUUUUAAUGUCUCUAGAAACCCAGGAUUCUUUUUCCUACAGGCUAAAAAUUGCAGGUCCUGAGGACAAAUACACAAAGAUGCUCAUAUGUUUUGGUGAAGGUUUGUUCUCACUGCAAAGCCCCUAAACCCACCAGGAGUCCUGCUUUGCUGAAACCUGAAGUCGGAGCAGCUAAGUGGGGCCGUGGUACCCAGAGUACCCAAUCUGGAGUUCUGAAGAGUCACUUUUCUUAAUUCCAAUCUGACCUCAGACAUUGAUUUUGGGCAAGUCACUUCACCUUGUCUGCCUCGAUUUUCUCAUCUGUAAAAUGAGCUCGAGAAGGAAAUGACAAAUCACCCAAUAUUUUAAACAAGAAAACCCCAAGGGAAAAUGACUGAAUAACAGAAGUGGAUCCAUGUGGUGAGUAGACGCUCCAGCUGGGCCCUCACUAGGGUACAAACUAGAGGUGUUCAUUCAUGCAUUCAACAGCUAUGUAUCAAGGGGAAGGCAGUGAUGGAGAUACAAAGAUGGGCAAGUAUGGCUCUUGUUCUCAAGGAGUUCAUGGAUCAAAGUGUGCCUGUUGUUAUGAGGAAGAAUAGGAAAGACUAGGCCAAUGAUCAGCACUGGAGACAAAAUUCAGAUGGUCCCUCUCUUUCAGAAUACAAUUACAGUCUUACAGUUGAAAUACUAAUAAUAACAAAAAUGAUAAACUCAUAUUUAAAUGACAUUUUAAGGUAUAGAAUUCAUUUUCAUGAUGACAAUCUUAUGAUGUCCUUAGGGGGGGAAAAAAAACUAUUCCAGUUCCUUUAUAUGUGAAGAAAUUGAAUGAAUAAGCAUUUAAAUGCUAAAAGGAGCCUUGAAUGUCAUCCAGUCCAAAGCUUAUUAAACUGUGGGUUGUGAUCCCAUGUGGUAACUGAAUAUUGAGAAAUUAUGAUUUUUAUCAGUAAAUACUGAUUUGUAUACCAAUUUUAUAUACUUAUCUAGAGGGAUUAUGUAAAAAAUUCUCCAGUAAAAAGAAAUCACAAGUGGAAAAAAGUUUAAGAAGCCCUACUUCUAGUUCAACUCUCCCAUUUUACAGAGAAGGAAGGUGAAGUGCCUGGCACACAGUAGGUGCCUAAUGAAUGUGGGCUGAUUGAUUGAGCAAGGUCAUCAACUUGUUUCCAAACUCAGAUGCUGUGAGUCUAAAUCUUUCCACUGCUCUCUUCUUCAUCCCCUAUUGCUAUUUCAGGAGAAAAUGAACCCCUAGCCUAUGCUUUAUUGACUCGAGUCCAUUUCCAUUUUCCUCAAAUCCAAACUUUUCCCCCAGUAUCCUUGAAAUAUCCCACAUUAUAAUUUGUAUUUCCACAUACAACACAGGCAUUUCUGAGAGAUGCUUGAUACAAGUCACUGUAUGGGACUCUGAAAAAAUAAAAGACUGAGGCAGAACCUCUUAUGCAAGGUGUUAAUAAAAGGCUAACACUUUUACAGAGACUUGGGUCUGGCCCAAGAAGACAAUUCAGAAGAUUACCCAUUCAUGGAAUAUUAGAUGUGGUAGUUUUUUUUUUUUUUUUUUUUUUUUUUAAAAAGAGAUCAGCUACAUCAUUCUGCUCAUUUUCCAGCUGAAGAAACUGAGAUUCUGACUGACGGUUCACCCCUCAAGAAAGCUUUACUGGCUCCCUAGGGAUGAAUCCUAUAAUGGCAUUCAUGUUGCUUUCUAUGAUUAGAUACCUUCAUACUUUUCAGAGUGCUUUGAGUCAAGAAGAUCUUUAUUCAAGUCAUUCUAUAAGUUGCAGAGAAAUUGUUGACUUGCACUGGUCUCCUCAACUGAGAAUUCCCUAUACUAAAGAAAUCACAAGUUCAUUUCCUAUCAUUUAUAUCUGGUAAUCUUAUCGUAUUCACUCUACAACCUGGUGAGAUAAGUAACACAGGGCAUCACUUCAUUUAACAGAUGAGAAAACUGAGGUACAGAAAAGCUAAGUGAAUUUCAGAAGGUCACAACGUAGGUUUAUUCUGAACCAGAGAUAACAUGCAACCUCUCUAAGUCCUAGAUCUGGAAAUUGUGAAGAGGCAAAUUUAGGUUUGAUGUCGGGAAAAAAAAACCCUGUUAAUUAAAGUAGAAUGGGCUGCCUGGGGAUAUCACAUGAGUUGUCCCUUAUUGGAGAUCUCUGGGCAAAGGCUGAAUGGCCUCUUGUUGGGCUUGUUGAAGCAGGGAUUCCUUUUUAGGUACGAGUUGGACUGGACAGCCAUUGCGGUCCUUGCCAACCCUACAGUUCUGAGAUUCUGCAGUCUUAUCAAGGCCAUACUAUUCUCAGGGCUAGAAAAAAAUUCUUUAUUAUCAGUGAUACUAACAUGUGAAAAUCAAUACUGUUUUCUUUGUUUUCUUCUUUUCCCUCUCCUACUAUUUAUGGCCCUUUCCCUAAACCCUUCCCCCAAUCUCCCCAAAGCCUUAAAAGCAGGGUUUGAAUGUAAAGUGAACCUUUUCUAACAAGCAAAUGGGACCAGUUCAUCUCUCCACCCUUUCUCCCACCCCAAUGGCUCAGGUUUAAAGUAGUGUUUUUUGUGAGUAAUGAGUUCCAUUAACAACUCCCUUCCUGGUAUUCCAGCUCUUUCCCCAGCCCAUAGAUGUUAAAUCAGCUCUGGAGAAUACACAAUGGAGAGAUAAAGUCUACCUUUAAUAAAGGGCUUUGAUAGAUUCAAAAGCGAAACUCCCCAAACAGUUCCCACUCUCCUUUCCACUCAAUCCAGCUGCCAAGGAUGUAUUACCACAUGCCUUUUCACUCAUAUCAGUAAAACUACACCUACUUUUAUGGGGAUGGGGAACCUGAGGCGGGAGUGGUGGGAAGAAACUCUCUCUUGUUUGUAUCUUCCAACGAACAUUUAUCAAUAACUCGCCACAUGUAAUGCAUUCGGCAGUGAAUCUGUUAUCUGGGAUGGCUGGGAAAUUUGUGGGGCAUUAUACUUUGUAAAGAUGAUAUGGUAGAAAGGAUAUCUAAUAAGACUAGAAAAUGUCUGCCACAUCAGUUAUUUUUCCCGUCAAAAGAAAACGAGACUUAAUUGGUCUAGGACAGUGGUUCUCAAAGUAAAGUCCAGAGAUUCUCUGGUGGUCUCUGAAACCCUUUCAGAAGGUCUGCAAAUUCAAAUUAAUUUUUUUUUCUAAUAUGGUAAAUAUCUAUCAAUAUAACCCAUAUAAACAAAAAAUUCUUCAGACAGAUCCUCAAUAGUUUUUUAAAUAGUACAAAGAUAGUGAAAACAAAAGUUUGAGAACCACUGGUCCAGGGCAUGAAGACUCAAACUCUAAUUACCUUCCCAGUUGUUUAAAGCAUAAAAGCAUAGAAGUAAUGGGGGCUUCCUUAUGCCUGAUGGACUUCUCAUUGAUGUGUGAAUCAAUGCCCUUCUGAUGUGAUGCUCCCAUCAUGGCAAAUACAGAAGUGAAUCAAUCGAAUCAAUGUCAUAUCUUGGCUCUUUAAAUUUCCCACGUUAUUGUUAGGUAAACUUCUUUCGUUAAAUGUUAAAUCUAUGAGUACACUGGCAGUGUGAGUACCUGCGCUGCUAGGUGAGACACUGGAUAGAGCCUGGGUCUGGGGUUUUGACUUCAAAUUAGCUAGAUGAUCUCGGGUAAAUCACUUUACCACUACUUGCCUCAGUUUCCUCAACUGUAAAAAGGGGUUAAAAUAACACAUAUUUCACAGGGUUGUUGUGAAGAUCAAAUAAGAUAUUUGCACAGUGCUUAGUCCAGUA
Molecule: long non-coding RNA, 15099 nt
Organism: Antechinus flavipes (yellow-footed antechinus)
Lineage: Eukaryota; Metazoa; Chordata; Mammalia; Dasyuromorphia; Dasyuridae
Exons: 3
Source: RefSeq, a predicted model, not a curated record